UACGUAGGUGGCGAGCGUUGUCCGGAAUUAUUGGGCGUAAAGGGCGCGUAGGCGGUCAUUUAAGUCAGGUGUGAAAGCCCCCGGCUCAACUGGGGAGCGUCAUUUGAUACUGGGUGACUAGAGUGCAGGAGAGGAAAGUGGAAUUCCAUGUGUAGCGGUGAAAUGCGUAGAUAUAUGGAGGAACACCAGUGGCGAAGGCGGCUUUCUGGACUGCAACUGACGCUGAGGCGCGAAAGCUGGGGGAGCGAACGGG
This 253-nucleotide ribosomal RNA is filed under the name uncultured bacterium. Its description in RNAcentral is "partial 16S ribosomal RNA". It matches the Rfam family "Bacterial small subunit ribosomal RNA", at positions 524 to 776 of the family's 1533-position model. The record is from RNAcentral.